CGCGGCGACGUGGGCGGUUCGCUGCCCGCGACGUCNCGAGAAGUCCACUGAACCUUAUCAUUUAGAGGAAGGAGAAGUCGUAACAAGGUUUCCGUAGGKGAACCUGCGGAAGGAUCAU
RNAcentral lists this ribosomal RNA (118 nucleotides) under Veronica missurica var. alba. RNAcentral describes it as "partial 18S ribosomal RNA". It matches the Rfam family "Eukaryotic small subunit ribosomal RNA". Lineage: Eukaryota; Viridiplantae; Streptophyta; Magnoliopsida; Lamiales; Plantaginaceae. The record is from RNAcentral.